Molecule: long non-coding RNA, 433 nt
Organism: Gymnogyps californianus (California condor)
Lineage: Eukaryota; Metazoa; Chordata; Aves; Accipitriformes; Cathartidae
Exons: 3
Source: RefSeq, a predicted model, not a curated record
GAUGGGAUGAGAAUUGUCCCUAUAGUCUAUUUUGUCAGCUCUGUUGUGUCAGUUUGGACCUUCAGCAGGGGCACAAUAACUGAUGGUGAAAAAUGAAUCCUAUUUGAUGACUGACCUUCCUAGGAACAGAAGAUUCUCCAGAAAGACAUCAGAGCUAUUGGUUCCCAGCUGCUGCCAGGUCCUUUCACUUUAGCAACAGAUUGCUCCUGAAUUUAUACCCGGGCCAUACAUGUCUAUGACUUCCCUCUCCUGCUUCUACACAUGAGCUUGGGGUGAGAAUGCAGCCCUCCAAUUUAAGAAUUGCAGUACUUCUGCCCAAUUUUCCUGCACACCCACGUGUAUGUGAUCAAUGGCCAGGGACAUUUUAGAACAUCCCGUUUCUCAGGUCAGGCAGUAUGAUGCCCUUUGAAAAUCCCUGUGUCAGGGAAGAAAG